This 388-nucleotide ribosomal RNA is filed under the name uncultured bacterium. Its description in RNAcentral is "bacterial SSU rRNA". It matches the Rfam family "Bacterial small subunit ribosomal RNA", at positions 28 to 417 of the family's 1533-position model. The record is from RNAcentral.
GAUGAACGCUGGCGGCAUGCCUUACACAUGCAAGUCGAACGGCAGCACGGGAGCAAUCCUGGUGGCGAGUGGCGAACGGGUGAGUAAUAUAUCGGAACGUGCCCAGUCGUGGGGAUAACGUAGCGAAAGCUACGCUAAUACCGCAUACGAUCUAUGGAUGAAAGCGGGGGAUCGCAAGACCUCGCGCGAUUGGAGCGGCCGAUAUCAGAUUAGGUAGUUGGUGAGGUAAAGGCUCACCAAGCCGACGAUCUGUAGCUGGUCUGAGAGGACGACCAGCCACACUGGGACUGAGACACGGCCCAGACUCCUACGGGAGGCAGCAGUGGGGGAAUUUUUGGACAAUGGACGCAAGUCUGAUCCAGCCAUUCCGCGUGCAGGAAGAAGGCCU